RNAcentral lists this ribosomal RNA (1343 nucleotides) under uncultured bacterium. RNAcentral describes it as "16S ribosomal RNA". It matches the Rfam family "Bacterial small subunit ribosomal RNA", at positions 28 to 1378 of the family's 1533-position model. The record is from RNAcentral.
GACGAACGCUGGCGGCGUGCUUAUCACAUGCAAGUCGAACGGAAAGGCCCUGCUUUUGUGGGGUGCUCGAGUGGCGAACGGGUGAGUAACACGUGAGUAACCUGCCCUUGACUUUGGGAUAACUUCAGGAAACUGGGGCUAAUACCGGAUAGGAGCUCCUGCUGCAUGGUGGGGGUUGGAAAGUUUCGGCGGUUGGGGAUGGACUCGCGGCUUAUCAGCUUGUUGGUGGGGUAGUGGCUUACCAAGGCUUUGACGGGUAGCCGGCCUGAGAGGGUGACCGGCCACAUUGGGACUGAGAUACGGCCCAGACUCCUACGGGAGGCAGCAGUGGGGAAUAUUGCACAAUGGGCGGAAGCCUGAUGCAGCAACGCCGCGUGCGGGAUGACGGCCUUCGGGUUGUAAACCGCUUUCGCCUGUGACGAAGCGUGAGUGACGGUAAUGGGUAAAGAAGCACCGGCUAACUACGUGCCAGCAGCCGCGGUGAUACGUAGGGUGCGAGCGUUGUCCGGAUUUAUUGGGCGUAAAGGGCUCGUAGGUGGUUGAUCGCGUCGGAAGUGUAAUCUUGGGGCUUAACCCUGAGCGUGCUUUCGAUACGGGUUGACUUGAGGAAGGUAGGGGAGAAUGGAAUUCCUGGUGGAGCGGUGGAAUGCGCAGAUAUCAGGAGGAACACCAGUGGCGAAGGCGGUUCUCUGGGCCUUUCCUGACGCUGAGGAGCGAAAGCGUGGGGAGCGAACAGGCUUAGAUACCCUGGUAGUCCACGCUGUAAACGGUGGGUACUAGGUGUGGGGUCCAUUCCACGGGUUCCGUGCCGUAGCUAACGCUUUAAGUACCCCGCCUGGGGAGUACGGCCGCAAGGCUAAAACUCAAAGGAAUUGACGGGGCCCCGCACAAGCGGCGGAGCAUGCGGAUUAAUUCGAUGCAACGCGUAGAACCUUACCUGGGUUUGACAUGGAUCGGGAGUGCUCAGAGAUGGGUGUGCCUCUUUUGGGGUCGGUUCACAGGUGGUGCAUGGCUGUCGUCAGCUCGUGUCGUGAGAUGUUGGGUUAAGUCCCGCAACGAGCGCAACCCUUGUUCACUGUUGCCAGCACGUUAUGGUGGGGACUCAGUGGAGACCGCCGGGGUCAACUCGGAGGAAGGUGGGGAUGACGUCAAGUCAUCAUGCCCCUUAUGUCCAGGGCUUCACGCAUGCUACAAUGGCUGGUACAGAGAGUGGCGAGCCUGUGAGGGUGAGCGAAUCUCGGAAAGCCGGUCUCAGUUCGGAUUGGGGUCUGCAACUCGACCUCAUGAAGUCGGAGUCGCUAGUAAUCGCAGAUCAGCAACGCUGCGGUGAAUACGUUCCCGGG